UACGUAGGGUGCGAGCGUUGUCCGGAAUUAUUGGGCGUAAAGAGCUUGUAGGCGGUUUGUCGCGUCUGCCGUGAAAAUUCGAGGCUCAACCUCGAACUUGCGGUGGGUACGGGCAGACUAGAGUGUGGUAGGGGAGACUGGAAUUCCUGGUGUAGCGGUGGAAUGCGCAGAUAUCAGGAGGAACACCGAUGGCGAAGGCAGGUCUCUGGGCCAUUACUGACACUGAGAAGCGAAAGCAUGGGGAGCGAACAGG
This 253-nucleotide ribosomal RNA is filed under the name uncultured bacterium. Its description in RNAcentral is "partial 16S ribosomal RNA". It matches the Rfam family "Bacterial small subunit ribosomal RNA", at positions 524 to 776 of the family's 1533-position model. The record is from RNAcentral.